Molecule: ribosomal RNA, 434 nt
Filed under: uncultured bacterium
Lineage: Bacteria
Description: partial 16S ribosomal RNA
Rfam family: Bacterial small subunit ribosomal RNA
Source: RNAcentral
AGCGAACGCUGGCGGCAGGCCUAACACAUGCAAGUCGAACGAACCUUUAGGGGUUAGUGGCGGACGGGUGAGUAACACGUCGGAACGUGGCUUUAGGUUCGGAAUAACUCAGGGAAACGUGUGCUAAUACCGAAUGUGUCCUUCGGGGGCCAGAUUAAUCGCCUUUAGAGGGGCCCGCGUCGGUUUAGCUAGUUGGUUGUGGUAAGGGCUCAUUAGGGCGACGUUCAGUAGAUGGUCAGAGAGGAUGAUCAGCGACAUUGAGACUGGGACACGGUCCAGACUCUUACGCGAUGCGGCAGUGCGUAAUCUUGCCCAAUGGGCGAAAGCCUGACGCAGUCAUGCCUCGUAAAUGAUUAAGGUCUGAGGGUAGUAAAGCUCUUUCACCGGGCACGAUAAUGACGGUACCCGAAGAAGAAGCCCCGGCUAACUUCGUG